CCCUUCCAAUCCCUACGAUUCUAUGAUUCUGUGACACAGUGUUCUGAAUCCACCAAAGGAUGGCUGGUACCGGCUCCCCCCCAGCUGCAAGUGGUGACCAUUGUAGUCCUCCAGUUUAAUCUGCAAACACACUCAGAGACGGUGCCCCUUUUUCAAGGGGGAAAAAUGGCAGUGAGAGAAACAAUUUUGUUAAGAAGAUCAGUUACACCGGGUGCAAAGUCCUGAGCUCCGCAAACAGGCACUGAAAGGAAGAACGAGGUGGCCAGGUGCGUGCAGCCAAUCAAGAGGGAACAGAUCAGAGUCAUAAUUUCUCAAGAUGAGGUCACUACAGAGAUGAAAGGGUACACAUCAAGGCUUUGUCAGAAGGAUGUCAUUCCGGUUGUAAGCACAAUUCUUCAGGAGAACGCAAAAUACUAAGUGAGACCACGGUCUAUCCCAAUAAAGGAGCUGACCAAAACUUAUACAGAACCCCCAAGAGCUGGUUGGUCCGGACCUAUCCACGAGCAACAUUACAACUGCCCACCUGGUGUAGGAGCUGUGGGGUGCCUGCAGCAGCAUGGUUACUGCUCACAGAUGUUAUACAAUCACAGAUUUUGCUGUUGAUGCAAAGAAAGAAAGAGAAAAGUCUCAAACCUGAACAGAAUUUCAGAAAAACUCCAAAACAACUCCAGCUCAGUGCUCCUGGGCACCACUGACUCCCAGCACUCUGAAAGGGACAAGUGACUCCUUAAGCAAAAGAGUGACCAGUGUCCCUACAGAGGAAUCUGUUCUCCGUAACACAGCAUGUUCAGCAGUGUGAAUGAAACAGUCUUCAUUUCAGCUGCAAGAAACCCCAGAGUAAGAGCCAAAACAAGAAUUGAGGUGAUAACGUCCCAAAGUACCUCACAUCUACUUAACACAAUACACUAGCUAAAAAAAGCUAGGAUUUUGCUGUUACCUCUGCAUGUAGUUUUCUGACUUCAGAAUGCUUUACUCGGUAGAUUUAGCAAAGAACAACUUUCCUUGCACACAUUUAACAUUGUAUAGAAUACACUGCUAUAUAAGCUCCAUGGAGUCAGGAGGAAGGGAUAGGACGAAUGCAAAAGUUACAGGACUGUUUCCCAACUGGCGUGCUACACCCUUACUAUUCAGGCACUUACAUAAGCAGCCUGCUACUUUGGUGAUGUAGUCAAAUUGCUGAGAGCACAAGAAGGCAGCGUUCACUUUAUAACAACUCCAUACAGGGCCAGUGAGAAGAGAAGUGGUCCAGAUACAUCAGCGGGGGUAGAAGGCGGUUUCUGCCACAAUGAAUCAAUGCUGCUGGCAAAAUUCAUUUUUUUAAUUAUCUGACAUUACAGUAAAUUCUGCAGUGCAGUCUCUUACCUCAGCAAAAUUUGAUUUAACACAACCAAAUUAGGUUGCCUUUGACCUUGCCAUCUCUUCAAACAAGGGACAAAGAGAAUUUUUCAAGCUUUAUUGCCACGCUUCCCCUAUUCUUUUGGUCAGAGUACCAGAUGCAUGACUGAGAUCGCUUAUAUUCAACACUUCCCAAUAAAAGAAAUGUUACUUUCAGUGAAUGCAAAAAAACCCUAAACAUUUCAUUGAAAGUCUGAA
This is a long non-coding RNA of Numida meleagris (helmeted guineafowl), 1593 nucleotides long. RefSeq lists it as uncharacterized. The record is from RefSeq and is a predicted model, not a curated record. NCBI's taxonomy places the organism in Eukaryota, Metazoa, Chordata, Aves, Galliformes, Numididae. The transcript has 3 exons.